Molecule: ribosomal RNA, 449 nt
Filed under: uncultured bacterium
Lineage: Bacteria
Description: partial 16S ribosomal RNA
Rfam family: Bacterial small subunit ribosomal RNA
Source: RNAcentral
GUCGAGAAUCUUUCACAAUGGGGGCAACCCUGAUGGAGCGACGCCGCGUGGAGGAUAAGGUCUUCGGAUUGUAAACUCCUGUCAUGCGUGAACAAGGUUGCUUGGUUAAUACCUGGGCAAAUUGAUGGUAACGCAAGAGGAAGAGACGGCUAACUCUGUGCCAGCAGCCGCGGUAAUACAGAGGUCUCAAGCGUUGUUCGGAAUCACUGGGCGUAAAGGGUGCGUAGGUGGCGUGGUAAGUCAGAUGUGAAAGCCCGGGGCUCAAACUCGGAACUGCAUCCGAUACUGCCAUGCUAGAGUACUGGAGAGGUGACUAGAAUUCUCGGUGUAGCAGUGAAAUGCGUAGAUAUCGAGAGGAAUACCAAAGGCAUAGGCAGGUCACUGGACAGUUACUGACACUGAGGCACGAAGGCCAGGGGAGCGAACGGGAUUAGAAACCCCGGUAGUCC